UGGGGAAUAUUGCACAAUGGGGGAAACCCUGAUGCAGCGACGCCGCGUGAGCGAAGAAGUAUUUCGGUAUGUAAAGCUCUAUCAGCAGGGAAGAAACUGACGGUACCUGACUAAGAAGCACCGGCUAAAUACGUGCCAGCAGCCGCGGUAAUACGUAUGGUGCAAGCGUUAUCCGGAUUUACUGGGUGUAAAGGGAGCGUAGACGGAUAGGCAAGUCUGGAGUGAAAGCCCGGGGCUCAACCCCGGGACUGCUUUGGAAACUGUUUAUCUAGAGUGCUGGAGAGGUAAGUGGAAUUCCUAGUGUAGCGGUGAAAUGCGUAGAUAUUAGGAGGAACACCAGUGGCGAAGGCGGCUUACUGGACAGUAACUGACGUUGAGGCUCGAAAGCGUGGGGAGCAAACAGG
This 404-nucleotide ribosomal RNA is filed under the name uncultured Ruminococcus sp. RNAcentral describes it as "bacterial SSU rRNA". It matches the Rfam family "Bacterial small subunit ribosomal RNA", at positions 355 to 776 of the family's 1533-position model. Lineage: Bacteria; Bacillati; Bacillota; Clostridia; Eubacteriales; Oscillospiraceae. The record is from RNAcentral.